Apodemus sylvaticus (European woodmouse) is the source of this 908-nucleotide long non-coding RNA. RefSeq lists it as uncharacterized. NCBI's taxonomy places the organism in Eukaryota, Metazoa, Chordata, Mammalia, Rodentia, Muridae. The transcript is spliced from 5 exons. The record is from RefSeq and is a predicted model, not a curated record.
GAUACCAACCAGCUCAGAGAAGAUGUUUUACAUGGCCGCAUUUAUAGUGACCUUCUGCAGAAUUAUUAGCAUAAUGACUGGAAAUGCAAGCAACUUUACUGAUGAAUGCUUAUAGCAUUAAAGGCUAUCUGCCAAGCAUCUACUGGCGACCCAUCUGGCUCCCAGGCUCAGUAUCCCAGUUGGCCAAGCAAAAUCACAAGCAAGAACCAGGGCCCGAGUGGGAAGAGGCUACAUGAGAAUAUGGAUAUUGGGAAGGGAAGUUAGCAGAAAAAGAAACAAAUGGCUCAUGCUUCAACCAUCGCUCUUCACGUCCACAGCAAUACCACUCCCCAAAGCAUGGUUUAGCAGUGACACAUGCCUGUGAACAUGGGAUACAGGCUUUUUCCAAGUAUGAUUUAGCUGAAGAACUCUGGUCCUCAGUGGGUCCUUGGAAAAUGGAAGAUCCAUCUUGACUCCCCCUUGAUCAUACAGACGGUGAAUAUAGAAUGUGGAACAUCAUGGGAGACUCUUGAUGCUUCCUAUUUCCCUGCUAAAGCAAGUCUCAUGGUCAAAACUCUGAAGAUGGAGAAAACAGUCCAAACCUGUUACGCCUUCAAGGGGAAGUGAGUUGGGGUUCAGGGGGUUGGGAUCCAUGAUGACGGAACAAGGGGAUGACAGCAAGAACAAAGCGCUGGAAGUUUACAUCCUGACCCACAGGUAGGAGGAAGAGGAAGAACAACGGGCCUGGUAAGAGUCUUUGGAAACCUCAAGCUCCGCCUCCAGAUACACGCCUCCUCAUUGGAAACCUCAAGCUCUGCCUCCAGAUACACGCCUUCUCAUUGGAAACCUCAAGCUCCGCCUCCAGAUACACGCCUCCUCAUUGGAAACCUCAAGCUCCGCCUCCAGAUACACGCCUCCUCAUUGGAAAC